UACAGAGGGGGCAAGCGUUGUUCGGAAUUACUGGGCGUAAAGCGUGCGCAGGCGGUUAUGCAAGACAGAUGUGAAAUCCCCGGGCUCAACCUGGGAACUGCAUUUGUGACUGUAUAGCUAGAGUACGGUAGAGGGGGAUGGAAUUCCGCGUGUAGCAGUGAAAUGCGUAGAUAUGCGGAGGAACACCGAUGGCGAAGGCAAUCCCCUGGACCUGUACUGACGCUCAUGCACGAAAGCGUGGGGAGCAAACAGG
Molecule: ribosomal RNA, 253 nt
Filed under: uncultured bacterium
Lineage: Bacteria
Description: partial 16S ribosomal RNA
Rfam family: Bacterial small subunit ribosomal RNA
Source: RNAcentral